GGGACACGUGGUAUCCUGUCUGAAUAUGGGGGGACCAUCCUCCAAGGCUAAAUACUCCUGACUGACCGAUAGUGAACCAGUACCGUGAGGGAAAGGCGAAAAGAACCCCGGCGAGGGGAGUGAAAAAGAACCUGAAACCGUGUACGUACAAGCAGUGGGAGCACGCUUAGGCGUGUGACUGCGUACCUUUUGUAUAAUGGGUCAGCGACUUAUAUUCUGUAGCAAGGUUAACCGAAUAGGGGAGCCGAAGGGAAACCGAGUCUUAACUGGGCGUUAAGUUGCAGGGUAUAGACCCGAAACCCGGUGAUCUAGCCAUGGGCAGGUUGAAGGUUGGGUAACACUAACUGGAGGACCGAACCGACUAAUGUUGAAAAAUUAGCGGAUGACUUGUGGCUGGGGGUGAAAGGCCAAUCAAACCGGGAGAUAGCUGGUUCUCCCCGAAAGCUAUUUAGGUAGCGCCUCGUGAAUUCAUCUCCGGGGGUAGAGCACUGUUUCGGCAAGGGGGUCAUCCCGACUUACCAACCCGAUGCAAACUGCGAAUACCGGAGAAUGUUAUCACGGGAGACACACGGCGGGUGCUAACGUCCGUCGUGAAGAGGGAAACAACCCAGACCGCCAGCUAAGGUCCCAAAGUCAUGGUUAAGUGGGAAACGAUGUGGGAAGGCCCAGACAGCCAGGAUGUUGGCUUAGAAGCAGCCAUCAUUUAAAGAAAGCGUAAUAGCUCACUGGUCGAGUCGGCCUGCGCGGAAGAUGUAACGGGGCUAAACCAUGCACCGAAGCUGCGGCAGCGACGCUGAUGCGUUGUUGGGUAGGGGAGCGU
This 820-nucleotide ribosomal RNA is filed under the name Escherichia coli. Its description in RNAcentral is "partial 23S ribosomal RNA". It matches the Rfam family "Bacterial large subunit ribosomal RNA", at positions 419 to 1239 of the family's 2925-position model. The record is from RNAcentral. Lineage: Bacteria; Pseudomonadati; Pseudomonadota; Gammaproteobacteria; Enterobacterales; Enterobacteriaceae.